UACGUAGGGUGCAAGCGUUAAUCGGAAUUACUGGGCGUAAAGCGUGCGCAGGCGGCUUUGCAAGACAGAUGUGAAAUCCCCGGGCUCAACCUGGGAACUGCAUUUGUGACUGCAUGGCUAGAGUACGGUAGAGGGGGAUGGAAUUCCACGUGUAGCAGUGAAAUGCGUAGAGAUGUGGAGGAAUACCGAUGGCGAAGGCAGCCCCCUGGGCCAAUACUGACGCUCAUGCACGAAAGCGUGGGGAGCAAACAGG
Molecule: ribosomal RNA, 253 nt
Filed under: uncultured bacterium
Lineage: Bacteria
Description: partial 16S ribosomal RNA
Rfam family: Bacterial small subunit ribosomal RNA
Source: RNAcentral